Tachysurus fulvidraco (yellow catfish) is the source of this 1521-nucleotide long non-coding RNA. RefSeq lists it as uncharacterized. NCBI's taxonomy places the organism in Eukaryota, Metazoa, Chordata, Actinopteri, Siluriformes, Bagridae. The record is from RefSeq and is a predicted model, not a curated record. The transcript is spliced from 3 exons.
UGUGUGUGUGUGCCUGUGUGUGUGUGCCUGUGUGUGUGUGUGCCUGUGUGUGUGUGUGCCUGUGUGUGUGUGUGCCUGUGUGUGUGUGUGCCUGUGUGUGCUGUGAAUGCACUGUAGCUCUCCGCCAGUUUCUGGAGCUUCUCACCCAAAACUGUGUUUGUGGAACCAGAGAGAAGAUUAGACCGACUGCACUUCGUUCCUCUGCUGUGUGUGUGUGUGUGUGUGUGUGUGUGUGUGUGUGUGUGUGUGUGUGUGUGUGUGUGUGUGUGUGUGUGUGUUUCUCUCAUAAAAGUGUGUCCCCCCUCCUUCUUCUUUUCCCUGUGUGUUUUGUAGGCAUGUAUCUACACUAACCCCAGUCUCUUAUCAAGGACCUGAAGGCAGCAGUAAUUAGAUUAGCUGUGGCUCCAGGGAAACAUGCUGUGUGUGUGUGUGUGUGUGUUUUCAGGAAGAUUUAAAUGAAAAAGCAGUCUAAAUGAGGUCAAAACUCCCUGACAGAGUGAUGACAUUGACUAUGGUUUCUUUCACAGCUAAAAUACAGAAUUUUACUGUGUGUGUGGUGUGUGUGUGUGUGGUGUGUGUGGGGUGGGGGGUUGUUCGGCGGUGGCGCCAUGCUGAUCCUCUUCACAGUAAUAGUUCACGUAUCCUCUCCUGCCUCUGUUUGGAUGCUUUAUUCACCUCAGCCAUAUGAUACUAACACGGACAGCUUGUGUGACGGCUGUUUCGACGCUAAUCAGCAGCACAAACACAGAAAUUGGCCACACACAAGCGUUCACACACAAGGGUGUAAAAUGAAUGGCCCCCUUGGCAGUGGGACCGGGCCUCGGCUGUGUAAACGCUAAGCAGUGCUGCAGCCCCUCAGGGAACCGACACGACAGCACAUUGUGCUCAGAUCUAAUCUGACUGUGUGUGUAGAGGCUUUGUGCUGAGCGCUGGGGUUUGUGUUCACCUCGUGGUUCAUCUGGAGCAGACCUUCAUCACUGCUGCAUUAGAGAAAUUAGCAGAGCAGCAUCCUGGCAUUGUGACUCUGUCAUAGUGAGAGGAGAGAUGGAGCACGGUGGGAAAAGUGGAAGCUCUCCGGCUGGUCGGGGUGAUGUCACUCAGCACAGCAGGAUCAGGAUCAUCGACAUUACUGAUGAGGAAGAGGAGGGGGGGAGAGAGUGAGGAAGAACAGAGGGAGAAGAGAAGGACAGAGAGAAGGAAUUCAAUUAGCAGGAACAUGAUGGAGAAGAACAGAGUGAUGAUGGAGAAGAAAAGGAGAGAAGAAAGCUUUUGUAGCUUUGUUGUUCAUCGGUCACAGCAGUGCUGAUAGUGUCUACAGCUCACAAUCACUCGUGCACUGCUUCUCUACUUUUAGGCUUUAAUUCAAAUAUUUAGCAAUUUUCACAUUUUGCUUAAAUUUUAAAUAAAUAUUUCAAUUUUUUAAUUUUUAUUUAUUUUCUGAAUCAUGUGUAAAAUGUUUAUCUAAAUAAAGCUGAUCAUUAUUAAUAUUAUAAUGCACAAUGGCAAUGGGUAAUUCCACCA